UUCCGGUUGAUCCUGCCGGACCUGACUGCUAUCGGAUUGAUACUAAGCCAUGCGAGUCUUUGUAGUAAUACAAGGCAGACGGCUCAGUAACACGUAGUCAACCUACCCUAUGGACAAGAAUAAUCUCGGGAAACUGGGCAUAAUUCUUGAUAGAUCAUAAUGCCUGGAAUGGUUUAUGGUUAAAAUGAUUCGUCGCCAUAGGAUGGGACUGCGGCCUAUCAGCUUGUUGGUGAGGUAAUGGCCCACCAAGGCGAUUACAGGUACGGGCUCUGAGAGGAGAAGCCCGGAGAUGGGUACUGAGACACGGACCCAGGCCCUAUGGGGCGCAGCAGGCGAGAAAACUUUGCAAUGUGCGAAAGCACGACAAGGUUAAUCCGAGUGAUUUCUGCUAAAGAAAUCUUUUGCCAGUCAUAAAACCACUGGUGAAUAAGGGGUGGGCAAGUUCUGGUGUCAGCCGCCGCGGUAAAACCAGCACCUCAAGUGGUCAGGAUGAUUAUUGGGCCUAAAGCAUCCGUAGCCGGCUUUGUUAGUUUUCGGUUAAAUCCAUGUGCUCAACGCAUGGGCUGCCGAAAAUACUGCAUGGCUAGGGAGUGGGAGAGGUAGACGGUACUCAGUAGGAAGGGGUAAAAUCCUUUGAUCUAUUGAUGACCACCUGUGGCGAAGGCGGUCUACCAGAACACGUUCGACGGUGAGGGAUGAAAGCUGGGGGAGCAAACCGGAUUAGAUACCCGGGUAGUCCCAGCUGUAAACGAUGCAGACUCGAUGAUGCAUUGGCAUAAUAGCCAGUGCAGUGUCGCAGGGAAGCCGUUAAGUCUGCCGCCUGGGAAGUACGUACGCAAGUAUGAAACUUAAAGGAAUUGGCGGGGGAGCACCACAAGGGGUGAAGCCUGCGGUUCAAUUGGAUUCAACGCCGGG
RNAcentral lists this ribosomal RNA (915 nucleotides) under uncultured marine archaeon. RNAcentral describes it as "bacterial SSU rRNA". It matches the Rfam family "Archaeal small subunit ribosomal RNA", at positions 1 to 922 of the family's 1478-position model. The record is from RNAcentral. RNAcentral also lists the same sequence under 1 other name.